GGCGAGAGGUGCAGUCAGAUGCUGUAGGUAGAUGAUGGGCUGAAUGUGACGUGAAAAGCUGUUGCACAACAGGGUUGCUGACCCCAAAACAAGUGGAACUUGGAAACUCAAUUUACUAAGGAAAAUCCCUCAGGGUGCCAUGCAGUGGCGUGGAGAUGGUCACUGGAGUCCCCCAGGGAUCAGUGCUUGGUCCACUCCUUUUCUUCAUCUACACCACAUCCUUAUGGACCUAUCAUACAUGCACAUGGCUUCUCCUACCACUGCUAUGCUGAUGACACCCAGAUAUUCUUCUCAUUUCACCCAGACAAUCCCACUAUAGCAGCAAAAAUUACAGCCUGCUUCUCUAGUCUGAACUAAUGCACUCCAACUGGUUCCGAAUGCAGAAGCUCGGCUUAUUUUCCAAGUAACAUGGCUCAUCAUCUCUCUCCACUGGCUACCAAUUGAAGCACGUGUCAGGUAUAAGUCAUUACUGCUCACUUACAGAACUUUUACUUACCUAGUUGUCUUACCUUUACAAAAGGGCACUAAAUCAUGUUACCGAUAAUUUUUCUUCACUACUCUCUGCUGGUGGAAUGAUCUUCCUAUAAGAGUUCGAUCAGCCACAUGUCCCGCUACAUUCAAUAAACAACUAAAAACUCCAAAAGAUUUUCCAAAAAUACUUGACAAAUCGAUGCUGAAUGCAGA
Non-coding RNA from Paramisgurnus dabryanus, 684 nucleotides. The record is from RefSeq and is a predicted model, not a curated record. NCBI's taxonomy places the organism in Eukaryota, Metazoa, Chordata, Actinopteri, Cypriniformes, Cobitidae.